Molecule: non-coding RNA, 480 nt
Organism: Pelobates cultripes (western spadefoot toad)
Lineage: Eukaryota; Metazoa; Chordata; Amphibia; Anura; Pelobatidae
Source: the annotation of a GenBank genome assembly
AGCCCACAGGAGCGUACCAAGAUGCAGCAGCUGCUAAGGGAGAAGCAAGACACCUUCUCCAAUGUGCCUGGGUACACUCCUCUGGCCACUCACCGAGUAAAAACCCCAGGGCAACUACCCAUGCACCAGACUCCCUACCGCAUCCCUGAAGCAGUGCGGGAGAACAUGCACAAGGAGAUUGACGAGAUGCUCCAGUUGGGGGUGAUUGAGCCAUCGGAUAGCCCCUGGGCCUCCCCAGCAGUCUUCGUACCUGCCGGGAUGGUACGACCCGCUUCUGCGUAGACUACCGGAGGUUAAACUAGAAGACAGUGUCUGAUGCCUAUCCUAUGCCUAGGAUAGAUUAACUGCUAGACCGAAUGGCCAGAGGCUACUACUAUUGAUGUAUGUAAGGGUGUGAUGAAGUGCCCUUCGCCACUUUGUCCUGGAGAGGCCUGCUUGCCUGCCUCCUCCCCUGCGACUAUGGCCCUGUGGAGAUUGUAC